Molecule: ribosomal RNA, 465 nt
Filed under: Vreelandella stevensii
Lineage: Bacteria; Pseudomonadati; Pseudomonadota; Gammaproteobacteria; Oceanospirillales; Halomonadaceae
Description: partial 16S ribosomal RNA
Rfam family: Bacterial small subunit ribosomal RNA
Source: RNAcentral
CCUACGGGGGGCAGCAGUGGGGAAUAUUGGACAAUGGGCGAAAGCCUGAUCCAGCCAUGCCGCGUGUGUGAAGAAGGCCUUCGGGUUGUAAAGCACUUUCAGUGGGGAAGAAAGCCUUGGGGCUAAUACCCUCGAGGAAGGACAUCACCCACAGAAGAAGCACCGGCUAACUCCGUGCCAGCAGCCGCGGUAAUACGGAGGGUGCGAGCGUUAAUCGGAAUUACUGGGCGUAAAGCGCGCGUAGGCGGUCUGAUAAGCCGGUUGUGAAAGCCCCGGGCUCAACCUGGGAACGGCAUCCGGAACUGUCAGGCUAGAGUGCAGGAGAGGAAGGUAGAAUUCCCGGUGUAGCGGUGAAAUGCGUAGAGAUCGGGAGGAAUACCAGUGGCGAAGGUGGCCUUCUGGACUGACACUGACGCUGAGGUGCGAAAGCGUGGGUAGCAAACAGGAUUAGAUACCCGAGUAGUC